Molecule: long non-coding RNA, 1543 nt
Organism: Amphimedon queenslandica
Lineage: Eukaryota; Metazoa; Porifera; Demospongiae; Haplosclerida; Niphatidae
Exons: 9
Source: RefSeq, a predicted model, not a curated record
UUUGGGCACACCUCGUAACAAAGAUGGCAGCUAAAGUCCUGGACAUGCCGGGACAUGCUGGAAAAGGUCAUUCACUAUGUUACCUCUUGUUAUCUAUAGAGUAUCAACCAGUGAAGAGGAGGGAUCAUUCGGGCCACUGUACGGGUAGGAGACUACCCGGCUGGGGUGGGGACUGGGCCGGUACGAGCCUCAGUGAUCUCCCGGCCUAGAGUAUCUACGUAGAUGAAAAGAAGCAAUCAAUGUGUUCUGUCAUGGAAUUUUGCCACUUGGUGACUGGUAGAUGGGAGCAAAAACCCACGACUGGUAAUCAGUCCUCUGCUGGGUGUUUGUGGCUAUGCAGCUGUUGCCAUUGGAAAUGGAAUUUUGGAGACUGGUGUGGUGGUGAUUACUGACUGUAAUCAUAACAGUUUAUACACAGGAUAAAGUUCAACUGUGACAUGAUACCAAUAAAAGUCAACGGUGAGGACUAUCUUGUAGUAAUUAGAGAAGGAGAUGGAUUAUAUUCUAGCAAUGCACCAAACAACCUGGUGCCCAGUGCAGUAGUGGUUGGAAUAAUGAAAUAAACUCUCAUCAGGUGAUUGGAUGUCACCAACUGUCACUGGAGACAGACCACCUAUUAGCUCCUUCGCUCUAACAUCAAUUAAUAAUUUCAGUGCUAUAUGAUUUGGAGAUGAUAUUGCUAACGGAAAGAGCAACAAUGUAUAAUGUUCUUAAUUUUACUGAUACAUCAGUGAAUUGUUUAAAGUUAUCUAAUCCUAGAGGAUCAGUACAAUGGCCUAAGGAAAGAAGUUGUCAUUUGAGUGUAUUGAUUAACACUAGCUCAGGACCACACCUACUUGUGUGAAGGCAUUUGUCAAUUAUCACUAAGCACUGAAAGCUUGUCAGAAUAUAAAAGAACUUUCAAUUACCUAUGGAAUGAUAUGAGUGUUCCAUAUCAAAGGAUGGCAUGGGAGGCUCUUAAAAAGAGUAUUAAUGGUCUGAUUAACAGGAGGAUUAUUGGCACGUUCACUUAUCUCAGCUCUGUCUGCCUCGCCCUCUUUUAGUCAUGUUUAUGCUGCACUGAUUGCUAUGGUCAAUGUUAAAUUCCUUGAAAUCAGAGAAACGAUUGCUAAGAGACUGAUUGUUACUUUUUAGAAAGCAUUAAAAGGAAAAAAACAAGAAGAUUUGUUUGUUGUGCAUCAAAUUUAUAGCACAUCUAGUCAACCAAUAGGUGGUCCACGAGUUGUUAGCAUUGGAAUUACUGACUGUAUUACUGGAAGAUCCUAUACGAGUGAUUCGAUCUGUUGAAGUUGCUGUUGGUUUUUUAAAAGAGUGCGGACAGAAACUAACACAACUCUCACAAAGAUAACAGGUGUCUUUGAAAGUCUGAAAGCAAUCCUCCAUGAUGCCAGUGUAGACAUAAGAGUACAGUACAUGAUUGAGGUGAUGUUUGUUAUCAGAAAGAACAAGUUUGCUGGCUAUCCAUUCAUUGUUGAAAGUCUUGAUUUGAUUAACGAAGAUGAUCAAGUCACUCGUAUAAUUUCACUGGAUGAUGAACUAGAUG